CUGCAGCCAAGAAGAGUGCCUGACGAGCCCAUUUCUCCCUGGUAUUCUAGUGGUUAGGAUUUGGCUCUCUUUGGACUUCUGCAGAUGAGGAGGCUGCACAUUCUGGAAAGCAGCAGAGAAGGGACUACUGGCCUGUUGCUCCCGGAUACUCCAUGGCACUGAACUACUCAUCUUGGAAAUCUGGUUCACCUGCCUGCUCUUCGGAAAUAUCUCCUUGCCUCACCUGCCUGCCCUCCUGCCCUCACACUACCACGGAACCUUCAACGCUCAGGACAGCCGACACACACCACCAAACCCACCCGGACUGCACCUCUCCUUCAGUGCUUCCAUUUCCCACCUGCACAUCCAGCUCUGAUUGCUUCCUUGGACCUGUCACUCUGCUUUUUCUCCUCCCUCCAAGCCAAGUCCCCAUGCCCCGUUUAUCAAGCUUUAAGUCGAG
This is a long non-coding RNA of Oreochromis aureus, 439 nucleotides long. RefSeq lists it as uncharacterized. The record is from RefSeq and is a predicted model, not a curated record. The transcript is spliced from 4 exons. NCBI's taxonomy places the organism in Eukaryota, Metazoa, Chordata, Actinopteri, Cichliformes, Cichlidae.